This 1169-nucleotide ribosomal RNA is filed under the name Salmonella enterica subsp. enterica serovar Typhimurium. RNAcentral's name for it is "bacterial LSU rRNA". It matches the Rfam family "Bacterial large subunit ribosomal RNA", at positions 63 to 1281 of the family's 2925-position model. The record is from RNAcentral. Lineage: Bacteria; Pseudomonadati; Pseudomonadota; Gammaproteobacteria; Enterobacterales; Enterobacteriaceae.
AAUCUGCGAUAAGCGCCGGUAAGGUGAUAUGAACCGUUAUAACCGGCGAUUUCCGAAUGGGGAAACCCAGUGUGAUUCGUCACACUAUCAUUAACUGAAUCCAUAGGUUAAUGAGGCGAACCGGGGGAACUGAAACAUCUAAGUACCCCGAGGAAAAGAAAUCAACCGAGAUUCCCCCAGUAGCGGCGAGCGAACGGGGAGGAGCCCAGAGCCUGAAUCAGCAUGUGUGUUAGUGGAAGCGUCUGGAAAGGCGCGCGAUACAGGGUGACAGCCCCGUACACAAAAGCGCAUGUGCUGUGAGCUCGAUGAGUAGGGCGGGACACGUGGUAUCCUGUCUGAAUAUGGGGGGACCAUCCUCCAAGGCUAAAUACUCCUGACUGACCGAUAGUGAACCAGUACCGUGAGGGAAAGGCGAAAAGAACCCCGGCGAGGGGAGUGAAAAAGAACCUGAAACCGUGUACGUACAAGCAGUGGGAGCNNGUGACUGCGUACCUUUUGUAUAAUGGGUCAGCGACUUAUAUUCUGUAGCAAGGUUAACCGUAUAGGGGAGCCGGAGGGAAACCGAGUCUUAAUUGGGCGUUAAGUUGCAGGGUAUAGACCCGAAACCCGGUGAUCUAGCCAUGGGCAGGUUGAAGGUUGGGUAACACUAACUGGAGGACCGAACCGACUAAUGUUGAAAAAUUAGCGGAUGACCUGUGGCUGGGGGUGAAAGGCCAAUCAAACCGGGAGAUAGCUGGUUCUCCCCGAAAGCUAUUUAGGUAGCGCCUCGUGAAUUCAUCUCCGGGGGUAGAGCACUGUUUCGGCUAGGGGGCCAUCCCGGCUUACCAACCCGAUGCAAACUGCGAAUACCGGAGAAUGUUAUCACGGGAGACACACGGCGGGUGCUAACGUCCGUCGUGAAGAGGGAAACAACCCAGACCGCCAGCUAAGGUCCCAAAGUCAUGGUUAAGUGGGAAACGAUGUGGGAAGGCCCAGACAGCCAGGAUGUUGGCUUAGAAGCAGCCAUCAUUUAAAGAAAGCGUAAUAGCUCACUGGUCGAGUCGGCCUGCGCGGAAGAUGUAACGGGGCUAAACCAUGCACCGAAGCUGCGGCAGCGACGCUGAUGCGUUGUUGGGUAGGGGAGCGUUCUGUAAGCCUGCGAAGGUGACCUGUGAGGGUUGCUGGAGGUA